RNAcentral lists this ribosomal RNA (527 nucleotides) under uncultured Pseudomonadota bacterium. RNAcentral describes it as "bacterial SSU rRNA". It matches the Rfam family "Bacterial small subunit ribosomal RNA", at positions 8 to 522 of the family's 1533-position model. The record is from RNAcentral. Lineage: Bacteria; Pseudomonadati; Pseudomonadota.
AGAGUUUGAUCAUGGCUCAGAUUGAACGCUGGCGGCAGGCCUAACACAUGCAAGUCGAGCGGCAGCGGGAAAGUAGCUUGCUACUUUUGCCGGCGAGCGGCGGACGGGUGAGUAAUGCCUGGGGAUCUGCCCAGUCGAGGGGGAUAACAGUUGGAAACGACUGCUAAUACCGCAUACGCCCUACGGGGGAAAGGAGGGGACCUUCGGGCCUUUCGCGAUUGGAUGAACCCAGGUGGGAUUAGCUAGUUGGUGGGGUAAUGGCUCACCAAGGCGACGAUCCCUAGCUGGUCUGAGAGGAUGAUCAGCCACACUGGAACUGAGACACGGUCCAGACUCCUACGGGAGGCAGCAGUGGGGAAUAUUGCACAAUGGGGGAAACCCUGAUGCAGCCAUGCCGCGUGUGUGAAGAAGGCCUUCGGGUUGUAAAGCACUUUCAGCGAGGAGGAAAGGUGGUUGGCUAAUACCCAAUUGCUGUGACGUUACUCGCAGAAGAAGCACCGGCUAACUCCGUGCCAGCAGCCGCGGUA